This 504-nucleotide ribosomal RNA is filed under the name uncultured bacterium. Its description in RNAcentral is "partial 16S ribosomal RNA". The record is from RNAcentral.
GGAGUUAGCCGGUGCUUCUUCUGUGAGUGAUGUCCUUCCUGCCGGCUAUUAACCCGCAGGCCUUCUUCCUCACUGAAAGUGCUUUACAACCCGAAGGCCUUCUUCACACACGCGGCAUGGCUGGAUCAGGGUUGCCCCCAUUGUCCAAUAUUCCCCACUGCUGCCUCCCGUAGGAGUCUGGGCCGUGUCUCAGUCCCAGUGUGGCUGAUCAUCCUCUCAGACCAGCUACGGAUCGUCGCCUUGGUGAGCCGUUACCUCACCAACCAGCUAAUCCGACAUAGGCUCAUCCGAUAGCGCGAGGCCCGAAGGUCCCCCGCUUUCCCCGUAGGGCGUAUGCGGUAUUAGCCUGGGUUUCCCCAGGUUAUCCCCCACUACCGGGCAGAUUCCUAUGCAUUACUCACCCGUCCGCCGCUCGCCACCAGGGAGCAAGCUCCCCGUGCUGCCGCUCGACUUGCAUGUGUUAGGCCUGCCGCCAGCGUUCAUCUGAGCCAUGAUCAACUCUGA